Salmo salar (Atlantic salmon) is the source of this 1039-nucleotide long non-coding RNA. RefSeq lists it as uncharacterized. The record is from RefSeq and is a predicted model, not a curated record. NCBI's taxonomy places the organism in Eukaryota, Metazoa, Chordata, Actinopteri, Salmoniformes, Salmonidae.
UCGAGGCGGACCCAGUUGAGAAUGGGUGUCAACAGGUAGCUAACGGUACUCACUGAACCAACCACUCGUUCAUAGUACAUCAGCUUGCGAAGCACUAUUUAUUUUUGUGUCGACAACAACUGUCAAGUUUAGUCAUGAAUUGGUGCUCAGUACCUUGGAUAUGCAAACUACAAGCAUGCACAGACUGCUGGGGUAAAGUUGAAUUGAUUACCUCACUAAAGGUGUCGAGCAGAGUCCGAUCCAAUCAAGAUCUGCAGCAGCAACCUUAGCACCAGGAACUCGUGUUACGGCCCAACUACACUCCAGCCACCAGACGUUCGGCAUUGCCAUCAGCCAUUGAGGGAACGCUUCCUUUGAAAUGAAUGAAAGCUGCUAUACUGCCCACGUUGCGUCACAUCCAAUUGAUAGGUUAGCUGUCAACAUCACACAAAUGAUGCGCUCGCUUAAAUGUUGUGAUUCUGGAUGGCCAGAUAGCUAGCAACAAAGACAAUAAUCUACCAUGUGGGGAAUCCGUAGGUGGCUCGUUUCAGCUAGUUUUAUCUUGUUCUCGAUACCAUGUCUUGUUUUCAGGUGUUUUGACUGAUGUCACGUCUAUGCUAAAAUGGCAAAAAUUUGCUGGCCAGCUAACCAACAAUUGUAACAAUGUAUUUGAGAGACAAUAAGUGCUCAUUGCGCAAAUGUAUUUUUUUUUUCAAUAAACAUUGGAGACGAAAGAUUGUUGACAACAUGUAAACAAUAUAAGACAACCCUGUCUGUUUUGCCCCAUAGCACACGCAUUGGAUUUGUUGCUAAAAAAAACAACCUGUCUACAGCAGCGUCCAAGCUCAAAAAUCGAGGUUCAGUUCUCGAUGGCUGACGCGUGCGUUCAUUCUAUCUUGUGAAUGGAAAAAAAUAGAUUUUGGUUGGUUUCUGGUGUAGCAGGUAGAACGUCACAUUGACACAAUGCUGAUUAUUAUGCGUGUAGUGUAGCUGACUUGUAAGUCACCUUUGCUAAGUCUUUCCAUGAUGAGCAAAUAAAUAUACUGGAGCUUGGCAUCAA